UGUGAACAUACACUAAAUACUUUGAGAUAUGCAGAUCGAGUUAAAAGUCUUUCAAAAAGUGGAAAUCCAAGAAAGGAUCAGAAUGCAAAUUCAUUACCUCCAACUAACAAGGAUGUAUCAUCAGCAUCAUCUUUGCCCAUUUUUUCUGAUGUAGAUGAUGUUUAUGAACAACAACAAGAGUUGAAGGCAGUGGACACAGGUAGAAGAGUGGUAGAAAAAGAAACAUUUUCUUACAACCCUACUACUGAUUUUGACAAACAUUCCCCAAGUUUUACUUCAAGUUAUCCCUUGAAUGGACUAGAUGAAAGUGGAUCUUCUGGCUUAGUGGAUAAGGAGUGGAUUGAAAUUAAUAAUUCUUAUGGUGGUUCUACAAGCCAAAAAGUCCAUUUGUCAUAUUUUCAAAACUCAGUGGAUACAGAAGAGAAAAUGCAAAAGGUGUCACCGCCCCCUAGAAAAGGAUCUAGGGAGGAAAAGUUGGAAAAUUUGGGUAACUGGUUGAAAAAAGACAACGGUGGUUCUGAUCUCCCCUCCACAAACAGCAGGCAUCAGAGCACUGGAAACUAUACUGCUAAUAAUACUGGAUCGCGACAUUAUGAUCCUGAUCCUCCUUCAGAUGGGAAUAUCAAUGCCAUACUUGAGGAGGAAGAGGCCUUAAUCAAGGCUCAUAGAAAAGAAAUAGAGGAUACAAUAUGCAUUUCAAUAAAAAGAAAGCUAGCCAUCUCCAACGGCAGAAGUUGAACAACCAGGCAGUCUCAUAGAUAGCUAUGUGACCCAGUUAAGCUUUGUGCUCUCACGCAAGGCAGCAGGUCUGGUUAGUCUUCAAGCUCGGCUGGCUAGGUUCCAGCAUCGACUUAAAGAACAAGAGAUACUUAGUCGGAAGAGAGUUCCUCGUUAAUGCAGGCACUGUCUUCUUCAGCAAUGGGAUCUUAUCCUGUCUUUUGCAAGGUAGGGAACCGUUUUUAGGUUUAACAAGGAUCCGAUGCACUACAUAUCAAUAGUAUCAAGGGCAAAUGUUGCUGUUCACAUCCAGGCUUUCUUGCUUUUAGAGCGGUGGUGGGGAGCAUUACUGGUGGUUGGUUUGUUAAAUGUAUCAUUCAGAUGCAUCUGAUGUAUUGUUAACUGAUUCGUUGGUUUGUGGCCUCGGAAAGUUGUCAAAGAUGAUUGGGAAACAAUUCUCUUUUAGGAAAGAAAGGGAAAAAUAAAAAUGUGAAAUAUAUAUAUAUAUAUAUGGCGUUGUGAAAUCAUUUUUCUUGUUAAAAAAAAA
This 1264-nucleotide unclassified non-coding RNA is filed under the name Hevea brasiliensis (rubber tree). Lineage: Eukaryota; Viridiplantae; Streptophyta; Magnoliopsida; Malpighiales; Euphorbiaceae. The record is from RNAcentral.